Molecule: RNA transcript, 2465 nt
Organism: Humulus lupulus (European hop)
Lineage: Eukaryota; Viridiplantae; Streptophyta; Magnoliopsida; Rosales; Cannabaceae
Gene name: UDP-glycosyltransferase 73C1-like
Exons: 2
Source: RefSeq, a predicted model, not a curated record
CACUGUCCACACAAAGUCUGUUCUGGCUGUGAGUGAAGCACUACAUCUUACGGUAAUCCAAAUUGCAUACGUAUGGGCUUACAACACCAAAAAAAGCACCGUUUGACAGUAGCUUGGAGCUAGCUAUUUAUAAUAAUUUGAGAAAGAAACACAUCUUAUACUAAGAUUUCUCUUUUUUAUUUAAUUUUUUUUUUUGAAAUUUCAAUGGCUUCCCAAGAUACACAGCUUCACUUUCUCAUGUUUCCUCUUAUGGCACAAGGUCACAUGAUUCCAAUGGUAGACAUAGCCAGAAUGAUGGCAGAACGUGGUGCCAAGAUCACCAUAGUCACCACACCAGGCAACGCAGCCCGUUUCGAAAGAGUUCUUGCUCGUGCCAUUGAAAACGGGCUAAGUAUCCAUUUAGUCCAACUGAGGUUUCCUUCAAAAGAAGCAGGAUUACCUGAAGAGUGUGAGAAUUUCGAUACAAUGCCUUCUCUAGGUUGUGCCUCAAAACUCUUUCACGCAGCCUCUAUGAUGCAACAGCCAGCAGAGAAAAGGUUUGAAGAGCUUAUGCCUAGGCCAAAUUGCAUAAUAUCUGACAUGAGUUUGCCUUGGACAAUAAACAUAGCUCGAAAGUUCAACAUUCCAAGGAUAUCAUUCCCUGGAAUAUGCUGCUUCUGCAUGUUAUGCUUGUACAAUGUGCACAGUUCUAAGGUUCUUGACAAUAUAAGUUCUGAAACAGAGCGCUUUGUUCUCCCUGAUUUGUCAGACCGGAUUGAGAUUACCAAAGCUCAGCUACCACUUACUGCAACGAGUUCAGAUCUGAAAGAAUUUCAUGACCAAAGAAUGAAAGCUGAGAUAGAGUCUUAUGGAGUAAUCAUUAAUAGUUUUGAAGAGUUGGAGCAUGCAUAUGUCCAAGACUACAAGAAGGUGAGGAAUGGUAAAGUUUGGUGUAUUGGCCCGGUUUCCUUAUGCAACAAAGAUGAAUUGGACAAGGCUGAAAGAGGUAACAAGUCUUCUGUUGAUGAACAUCAGUGUCUAAAGUGGCUUGAUUUGUGGAAACCCGCCUCUGUAGUUUAUGUUUGCCUAGGAAGCUUAUGUAAUUUGGUAACUUCACAGUUUAUAGAACUUGGACUAGGCUUGGAGGCUUCAAACAAAUCGUUUAUUUGGGUUAUAAGAGGAGGGACUAGUACUUCAGAUGAGGUAGAGAAGUGGAUCAAAGAAGAUGGGUUUGAAAAAAGGACCAAGGAAAGAGGGCUGGUCAUCCGCGGUUGGGCUCCACAAGUACUAAUCUUCUCACACCCUGCAGUUGGAGUGUUCUUAACUCACUGUGGAUGGAAUUCAACUCUUGAAGGAAUAUGUGCAGGGGUUCCCUUGGUUACCUGGCCGCUAUUUGGUGACCAGUUUCUUAAUGAGAAACUGGUUGCACAAGUUUUGAAGAUAGCUGUAACUCUGGGGUUGGAAGAGCCAAUGAAAUGGGGAGAGGAAGAGAAAAGUGGAGUCAACGUGAAGAGGGAAACUAUUAAGAGUGCUUUAGAGGAAGUGUUGGGUGAAGGAGAAGAAAGCAAGGAGAGAAGGGAAAGAGCUAGAAAGCUUGGGGAAAUGGCAAAGAGAGCCGUUGAAGAAGGUGGGUCUUCACACCUCAAUAUGGCAUUGUUUUUAGAAGACAUCGUACAUUUAGAAGGCAAUAAUCAGUAGCAAGAGUAAGAAAAGAGCUAGAAGCGCUGUACUUUCUUGUUUUUUAGGAAAAAUUGUUUUGAAUGUUAUUUGUUGAUUCAAAAGUUCUACUUUAUAUGCAUAAUUUUGUUUUUCUUUGAUGAUCUAUCAAAAGUAUUUCAUAAGCAGAGAUGUUGUGUUCGGGGAAGACAGUUUAUAAGGGCCUAUUUUGAGAGAACAACCUGUGAAAUCAAAUCAGGAGGCCAGCAAUAAAGUACAGUUUAAGGUGGAGACUGAUGAUGAGAAUUCUAAGGAGCAAUAGGAAAUGGUUACUACAGAUGAAACAGGAGAAGAAAUCUUGGAUGAUGAUGAGCACUACAUAUAACAGAGGGUGAAGUUGAUCAAAAUCCAGGAGUUGAGGCUGCUGUGACAUGGGGUUUGGAGGACAUAUCCGGGUUGGUAAUGAAAAGAGAGAGUGAAUAAAGCUAUAGACAAGGUAAUGGAGAAAGGAAAAGAAGCUGAGGAAAGAAGAAAGAAAGUAAGGGAGCUUGAUAAAAAGAGCAAUAGGAGAAGGUGGAUCUUCUCACCUUACCAUGGAAAUUUUUAAUCCAAUAUGUGAAAAAACAACAAUUGCUUAGGCUUGAAAAAUGACAUCAAAUCUAGUUGAUGUAUGGAAGAUAAGCUAGAAAAUCCUUUUAAUUUAUUUCUAUCUUUUUGUUACUAUUGGAGGAUUUUAUACAUCCUCCUAUAUGGAAGUAUAUAAUCCCAGUUAUAUCUUUUUCUGGGAAAGCUUAUUAAUAUUUGAAAUAUGCUCGUUUUGUUAUCUGUAA